Molecule: non-coding RNA, 74 nt
Organism: Gemmatimonadetes bacterium 13_1_40CM_4_69_5
Lineage: Bacteria; Pseudomonadati; Gemmatimonadota
Source: Rfam
GCGCCCGUAGCUCAACUGGACAGAGCGCUGGGUUUCUAACCCAAGGGUUGGAGGUUCGAGUCCUCCCGGGCGCG